This 763-nucleotide ribosomal RNA is filed under the name uncultured Streptococcus sp. RNAcentral describes it as "bacterial SSU rRNA". It matches the Rfam family "Bacterial small subunit ribosomal RNA", at positions 28 to 776 of the family's 1533-position model. Lineage: Bacteria; Bacillati; Bacillota; Bacilli; Lactobacillales; Streptococcaceae. The record is from RNAcentral.
GACGAACGCUGGCGGCGUGCCUAAUACAUGCAAGUAGAACGCUGAAGGAGGAGCUUGCUUCUCCGGAUGAGUUGCGAACGGGUGAGUAACGCGUAGGUAACCUGCCUGGUAGCGGGGGAUAACUAUUGGAAACGAUAGCUAAUACCGCAUAACAGUAGAUAUUGCAUGAUAUCUGCUUGAAAGGUGCAAAUGCAUCACUACCAGAUGGACCUGCGUUGUAUUAGCUAGUUGGUGAGGUAACGGCUCACCAAGGCAACGAUACAUAGCCGACCUGAGAGGGUGAUCGGCCACACUGGGACUGAGACACGGCCCAGACUCCUACGGGAGGCAGCAGUAGGGAAUCUUCGGCAAUGGACGGAAGUCUGACCGAGCAACGCCGCGUGAGUGAAGAAGGUUUUCGGAUUGUAAAGCUCUGUUGUAAGAGAAGAACGAGUGUGAGAGUGGAAAGUUCACACUGUGACGGUAUCUUACCAGAAAGGGACGGCUAACUACGUGCCAGCAGCCGCGGUAAUACGUAGGUCCCGAGCGUUGUCCGGAUUUAUUGGGCGUAAAGCGAGCGCAGGCGGUUAGAUAAGUCUGAAGUUAAAGGCUGUGGCUUAACCAUAGUACGCUUUGGAAACUGUUUAACUUGAGUGCAAGAGGGGAGAGUGGAAUUCCAUGUGUAGCGGUGAAAUGCGUAGAUAUAUGGAGGAACACCGGUGGCGAAAGCGGCUCUCUGGCUUGUAACUGACGCUAAAGCGCGAAAGCGUGGGUAGCAAACAGG